AUACGUAGGUGACAAGCGUUAUCCGGAUUUACUGGGCGUAAAGGGCGUGUAGGCGGUCUUGCAAGUCAGAAGUGAAAUUCCUGAGCUCAACUCGGGCGCUGCUUCUGAAACUGCAGGACUUGAGUGCUGGAGGGGAUAGCGGAAUUCCUAGUGGAGCGGUAAAAUGCGCAGAUAUUAGGAAGAACACCGGUGGCGAAGGCGGCUAUCUGGACAGUAACUGACGCUGAGGCGCGAAAGCGUGGGGAGAAAACAGGAUUAGAUACCCCGUUAUUCCACUCCGUAAACGAUGAAUACUAGGUGUAGGGGGUAUCGACUCCCUCUGUGCCGCAGUUAACACAAUAAGUAUUCCGCCUGGGGAGUACGGCCGCAAGGUUGAAACUCAAAUGAAUUGACGGGG
RNAcentral lists this ribosomal RNA (397 nucleotides) under uncultured bacterium. Its description in RNAcentral is "partial 16S ribosomal RNA". It matches the Rfam family "Bacterial small subunit ribosomal RNA", at positions 523 to 918 of the family's 1533-position model. The record is from RNAcentral.